GCAUAUCAAUAAGCGGAGGAAAAGAAACCAACAGGGAUUGCCCCAGUAACGGCGAGUGAAGCGGCAACAGCUCAAAUUUGAAAUCUGGCCCCCAGGGCCCGAGUUGUAAUUUGUAGAGGAUGCUUUUGGCGAGGCGCCUUCCGAGUUCCCUGGAACGGGACGCCAUAGAGGGUGAGAGCCCCGUCUGGUCGGACGCCUAGCCUCUGUAAAGCUCCUUCGACGAGUCGAGUAGUUUGGGAAUGCUGCUCUAAAUGGGAGGUAUAUGUCUUCUAAAGCUAAAUACCGGCCAGAGACCGAUAGCGCACAAGUAGAGUGAUCGAAAGAUGAAAAGCACUUUGAAAAGAGGGUUAAACAGUACGUGAAAUUGUUGAAAGGGAAGCGCUUGUGACCAGACUUGGGCCCGGUUGAUCAUCCAGCGUUCUCGCUGGUGCACUCUGCCGGCCCAGGCCAGCAUCAGUUCGCGCCGGGGGACAAAGGCUUCGGGAACGUGGCUCCCUCGGGAGUGUUAUAGCCCGCUGCGUAAUACCCUGGUGCGGACUGAGGCCCGCGCUCCGCAAGGAUGCUGGCGUAAUGGUCAUCAGCGACCCGUCUUGAAACACGGACCAAGGAGUCGUCUUCGUAUGCGAGUGUUCGGGUGUCAAACCCCUACGCGUAAUGAAAGUGAACGCAGGUGAGAGCUUCGGCGCAUCAUCGACCGAUCCUGAUGUUCUCGGAUGGAUUUGAGUAAGAGCAUACGGGGCCGGACCCGAAAGAAGGUGAACUAUGCCUGUAUAGGGUGAAGCCAGAGGAAACUCUGGUGGAGGCUCGCAGCGGUUCUGACGUGCAAAUCGAUCGUCAAAUAUGGGCAUGGGGGGCGAAAGACUAAUCGAACCUUUCUAGUAGCUGGUUUCCGCCUAAGUU
This 900-nucleotide ribosomal RNA is filed under the name Niesslia sp. RNAcentral's name for it is "LSU rRNA". It matches the Rfam family "Eukaryotic large subunit ribosomal RNA", at positions 38 to 968 of the family's 3401-position model. Lineage: Eukaryota; Fungi; Ascomycota; Sordariomycetes; Hypocreales; Niessliaceae. The record is from RNAcentral.